UGGGGUGUGACUCAGUGGUAGAGUGCUUGCCUAGCAUGCAUGAGGCCCUGGGUUCAAUUUCUACACUUCCA
Molecule: transfer RNA, 71 nt
Filed under: Ictidomys tridecemlineatus (thirteen-lined ground squirrel)
Lineage: Eukaryota; Metazoa; Chordata; Mammalia; Rodentia; Sciuridae
Description: Spermophilus tridecemlineatus (thirteen-lined ground squirrel) tRNA
Rfam family: tRNA
About the family: Transfer RNA (tRNA) molecules are approximately 80 nucleotides in length. Their secondary structure includes four short double-helical elements and three loops (D, anti-codon, and T loops).
Source: Rfam by way of RNAcentral